CCUCCUCCCUGAGCACGCCGCCCCUGCUCUAAUUCUCCUCCCCUCCCAGGCUUGCGGCGCCAAACAGCUGAUUGGCGCUGCAAGCCUGGGAGGCGGGAAAAGUGGAGCGGUGACCGCGUGCUCAGAGAGGGGGCAUAGGAAUGCUGUAAAACAAAUUGGGGGCACCGCUUUUUGGCACCCCCAAAUCUUAGCACCCUAGGCAACCGCCUAGUUUGCCUUAAUGGUAGAACCGGCCCUGAGUCCAGAACUUUAACAAAGGAAUCAAAUUGGUUGAUAUGUUUCUUAGCGAGAGUGUAUUGUGUUGAAAAUCUUAACUUCAGGUGAAGUUUCCCCAAGUUUAAAAGAACAAUGUGAAUUUCCUGUCCAUUAACUGUCAUGAGCAAAGAAAUAUGAAAGUUCCCAGUAUCUCUGCCAUCUCACCUUAAACCUGGUUUUCAGAUUCCCUCUUCUGGUCUCUGAUCUCUCUUGAACAGGAACUUUCAGUCAUGCUAAAACAGGGGUUCUCAAACUGGGGAUUGGGAUCCCUCAGGGGGCCAUGAGGUUAUUACAUGGGGGGUCAUGAGCGGUCAACCUCCACCCCAAACCCCACUUGCCUCCAGCAUUUAUAAUGGUGUUAAAUAUUAAAAAAAAUAUUUUUAAUUUAUAAGGGGGGAUUGCACUCAGAGGCUUGCUAUGUGAAAGGGGUCACCAGUACAAAAAGUUUGAGACCCACUGUGCUAAACUGUAUGAUGGUUUUGUGAUUUAUAUCAAAGAGGUUGGGGUUGAAAUGCAAAAUUCAACUUCACUUGAAUUUUUGUCUGUGAAAGGUGAAACCUAGUGUAUCAAUCUACACUGAAUGGCCAAGUCUCCAUGUUACAGUGACCUGGUUUAAGUUAUAAAUAAUAAUAAAAUAAUAUUAGAUAUAUACAAUUAUAAUAAUAGACAUCUUAUGAUUUCCUACUAAGAAAUAAUAGUUCAAACCUCCUUAGCACCUUUCAACCAGAGUUCUCAGAGCACUUUACAAACACUAAGGAAUGAAGCCUCACAAAAUUGCUGUGAUAAUGGUAAAUAUUCCCAUGAAACUUCUCCAUCGAAAAAAUUCUACAUUCCAAAUGUUUUGACCAGUUGUAACUUUAACCACAACACAAGCACACCGCAUUGUCAUUCCUUUGUAUUAGCAUCCAUUAUAAAAUGAUUUGGUAAUGGGACUAUUUGAAAGAGUAACAUUACUUGUAUGCGUUUGCAGGACUGGGCCCUAAAGAGAAGCUGUAUGUCAAAAUAAACAUAAAUCAAGAGAUUAUGGGCCACAUCUUCAGCUCAGCUCCAUGCUAUGCCAUCUUACACCAUUUGAGGAUGUGGCCUAAAUUAAUCAAUUUAUGUUUAAAUCAGCAUUAAUGCAGGCUGGCUACCACAAGCAGCUGAAGCGUCAUCAGGGGAGCAAGAAGAUGAUGCAAUAGUAGAGCAAAUCUCAGAGCAAACAAAGACUUUCAUCCUCUCUUGGUGACACGUUCCUCAUGCCUGAAUGCAAGAAGGGAGGGAUGGAAGAAGGCGCAAAGAAAGCAAAAGUGGGAGAACUUACAUGGGUGAUUGACAUUCUGAGAUCCCACAGUUGAGGAGAGAGGACUUGGGCGAUGACCAUCACUAGCUGAAGCAGGUUGGCUACAAAAGAGAGCAUUAGUCAGGCGUCAAAAUUUAUCUAUCUGCCUACAUACUUCUAGUGCACCCUUAGGCUCAAAGUGCCAAUGCAACAGGUUGAGUACAGGAACCCCUCUCUCACAUGUGUUUCUGAGAGCCAGAAACUUACCCAUUCCCCCUGCCAGUCAGGACUUAGCUUUAAAACUGUUUGUAAAACUAAGUAAGAAUGGGAAGAGAAGAAAUCAGGGACAGAAAUUGGAGGAAUGAAUAGGAAGCAGAUGGGGAGUUCAAGUGAAGAGAAGAAUCCCAGCGGAGACCUGCAUUUCCAGUUAGGAUGACAACACAUUAAAUUACGCUCCUGAAAAUCUCUUCUUUUUUCCCCACUUUUCUCAAAAGUGGCAAAAAAUAAAAUUCAGCAGAUCAGUGUAAUAUAUAUUAAAAAUUAUUUAAACACAUUUCUAUAGCAAAGAUACAGUGAGUUUCUCUUUGAUUUUCCCUCACUGAACAUCAUUUGAUGUGGAUCAUUGACUGCAGUGGCAGUUUGCACACUGCCAUGCAUUUGAAAGAAUGGGAGACUUGCAUUAUACUUCCCUUAUUAGAGGUUUACUCAAUGCCACUUCACCAUGAACUAUAUCCUGCAAUCCUUAUUCAGGGAAAUCUCCCUUUGUGGCAGAUGUAGGAAUUGGGUCCCACUGUACCAUCAUUCCAUUGUACUUUCAGUCUUUCCUAUACGAAUAUUCAAUACCUUUGGCUACGUCCUAUUAAACAAAAACCAUUUGUGCAGGGCUGAGUCAUGGAUUCAUGCAUCAUCUAAUACACGUGUCUGAGAAGGAAAACUGGCAUGUUCUGCACAUUCAUGAUAUGUGUGGGCAGAGUUUAGCUGAGUGUUCAGAUUGAUGUAAAACCAAAGAUUGUUGUGGUGGAACAGUACCUCUUUUCCACUGCUCUUCUUGUCUCUUGAUAAGAGUUAGACUUUAUAGGAUCCUUCAGUAAAAAUACCCUAUCAUAGGUGAGGAAGUACUAACCCUUGGACAACAGUUUAAGUCUUCAGUUGUACAGUACCACCAGUUCCCACCCCCAUCCCCCAUUUAAUUGCUUACUGCACAUCCUAUUCAUUACAUAGUGCCCAUUAAAUCCAGAUGUAGUGCCCAGAAAGGAGCUGGCCUCUGUCAGCUCAGAGCAGCUAGAUAACACAUUAGCAGAUAACAGAUACUAAGAGAUUCAGGACUGACCACACAUUAACUAUACCUUAUAUUAUAGGAGAGCAUUUUAAAAAAGAGUUAAUGAGUUAAAAAACAAAGAAACUGAUAAAUAUUUCUGAUAAAACUAAGAAACACCAAAGCCCACUCACAGAUUUGCCAGUAGAAGUUAGCACAGCAAAACAGACAGAAAACUGGACAGCAUACUCCCAAAUCUGUGCAGAUUGAAAUGAACAUAUUUAAAUUUCAUUGUCGAUUGAAGAGUGACAAAUACAAAUUAGAAGAUGGGAGUAGGAAACUCAGACUCUGAGCACAGAUCAGCCAAUGGUAUUAACUAAAAUCUGAACUGUUUGCUCUAGGGUUGUGGGCGGGACUGUCUACAUGGCCAUUUUCAUUACACCUUGUUAGCCAACACAUGUAUGUUAGACAUAGGGCAUAUCAGAUUAAUACCAUAUUAUACCGAGCAUGUGGGCAGUUAUGUUAACCAAUUUGUAUUAUGUCUUUCACACGUUUUCCACUUUGCUCACUUAUGUCAAGAGAUAUAUAUCCCACCAUACUCUGCAAAGCUAAAUGUAGCUUUUGCCAUUAGCAAAUAUAAAGGCUGUCAAAGGCAAGAUAGGUUUCAGAGUAGCAGCCGUGUUAGUCUGUAUCCGCAAAAAGAACAGGAGUACUUGUGGCACCUUAGAGACUAACAAAUUUAUUAGAGCAUAAGCUUUCGUGGGCUACAGCCCACUUCUUCGGAUGCCUCAUUCUAUGUCCUUGUACCAGUAACUUCAUGGGCAACUGGUUUAAAAUGUUGUAUCCAAAAGAGAGAAAAGGGAAGGUACAGAACCACAAGUUAAGGAACUCGACAAACUGGUGAGUUGGAUCUCAGGUGACACAAAGUGCAUUCUAACUUUGAAGCAACAAUAUAAGUGAGUUUGGGGGUAUAUUUUGAAGACCACCUACUGUGUAAGGUGAAAAUGCUGUGAGAUAAACAUUUCUUCCCAAAAGGAAGGGUAUGUAUGUCUGUUUCAUACUGUACUACUUUGUCUUAGACAAUAAACUUUGGCUAAGCUUG
Molecule: non-coding RNA, 3873 nt
Organism: Chrysemys picta bellii (western painted turtle)
Lineage: Eukaryota; Metazoa; Chordata; Testudines; Emydidae
Source: RefSeq, a predicted model, not a curated record